AGUGAACGCUGGCGGUAGGCCUAACACAUGCAAGUCGAACGGCAGCACAGGAGAGCUUGCUCUCUGGGUGGCGAGUGGCGGACGGGUGAGGAAUACAUCGGAAUCUACUCUGUCGUGGGGGAUAACGUAGGGAAACUUACGCUAAUACCGCAUACGACCUACGGGUGAAAGCAGGGGACCUUCGGGCCUUGCGCGAUUGAAUGAGCCGAUGUCGGAUUAGCUAGUUGGCGGGGUAAAGGGCCACCAAGGCGACGAUCCGUAGCUGGUCUGAGAGGAUGAUCAGCCACACUGGAACUGAGACACGGUCCAGACUCCUACGGGAGGCAGCAGUGGGGAAUAUUGGACAAUGGGCGCAAGCCUGAUCCAGCCAUACCGCGUGGGUGAAGAAGGCCUUCGGGUUGUAAAGCCCUUUUGUUGGGAAAGAAAUCCAGCUGGCUAAUACCCGGUUGGGAUGACGGUACCCAAAGAAUAAGCACCGGCUAACUUCGUGCCAGCCGCCGCUAUAA
RNAcentral lists this ribosomal RNA (506 nucleotides) under uncultured bacterium. RNAcentral describes it as "partial 16S ribosomal RNA". It matches the Rfam family "Bacterial small subunit ribosomal RNA", at positions 29 to 523 of the family's 1533-position model. The record is from RNAcentral.